RNAcentral lists this ribosomal RNA (460 nucleotides) under uncultured bacterium. RNAcentral describes it as "partial 16S ribosomal RNA". It matches the Rfam family "Bacterial small subunit ribosomal RNA", at positions 338 to 795 of the family's 1533-position model. The record is from RNAcentral.
CCUACGGGAGGCAGCAGUGAGGAAUAUUGGUCAAUGGCCGGAAGCCUGAACCAGCCAAGCCGCGUGAAGGACGACGGCCCUACGGGUUGUAAACUUCUUUUAUCAGGGAAUAAAGUGAGGCACGUGUGCCUGUCUGCAUGUACUUUAUGAAUAAGGACCGGCUAAUUCCGUGCCAGCAGCCGCGGUAAUACGGAGAAUCCGGGCGUUAUCCGGAUUUAUUGGGUUUAAAGGGAGCGUAGCUGGGCUGUUAAGCCGGUUGUUAAUGCCCCCGGCCAAACCGGUGAAGUGCAAUUGAUACUGGCGUGCUUGAGUGCGGGUGAGGUAGGAGGAAUGUGUGGUGUAGCGGUGAAAUGCUUAGAUAUGACGCAGAACUCCGAUUGCGAAGGCAGCUUACUACAGCGCGACUGACGCUGAUGCACGAAAGCGUGGGUAUCAAACAGGAUUAGAUACCCUUGUAGUC